RNAcentral lists this ribosomal RNA (492 nucleotides) under uncultured bacterium. Its description in RNAcentral is "partial 16S ribosomal RNA". It matches the Rfam family "Bacterial small subunit ribosomal RNA", at positions 29 to 507 of the family's 1533-position model. The record is from RNAcentral.
AGUGAACGCUGGCGGUAGGCCUAACACAUGCGAGUCGAACGGCAGCACAGUAAGAGCUUGCUCUUACGGGUGGCGAGUGGCGGACGGGUGAGGAAUACAUCGGAAUCUACUUUUUCGUGGGGGAUAACGUAGGGAAACUUACGCUAAUACCGCAUACGACCUACGGGUGAAAGCAGGGGAUCUUCGGACCUUGCGCGAUUGAAUGAGCCGAUGUCGGAUUAGCUAGUUGGCGGGGUAAAGGCCCACCAAGGCGACGAUCCGUAGCUGGUCUGAGAGGAUGAACAGCCACACUGGAACUGAGACACGGUCCAGACUCCUACAGGAGGCAGCAGUGGGUAAUAUUGGACGAUGGGCGCGAGCCUGAUCCAGCCCUACCGCGUGGGUGAAGAAGGACUUCGGGUUGUAAAGCCCUUUUGUUGGGAAAGAAAAGCAGCAGGUUAAUACCCCGCUGUUCUGACGGUACCCAAAGAAUAAGCACCGGCUAACUUCGUG